UAAAAGUUUUAUUCUUGCUUAAUAAUUUGUUAUUAAUAUAUUUUAUAUGUAAAUUUUUGUGCGUUUAAAUAAAUAAUUCUUAAAGGUAAUUUAUAUAAAAAAUUCACAGUAUUUAAUUUUAAAUUUUAAGUAAUUUUAGAAUUAGUAAUAUUAAAUAGUAUAGGUAAAUUUUGUGCCAGCUACCGCGGUUAUACAAAAUAUACAAAUAAAUUAUUUUAGUAGUUAGUUAAUUGAAUAUAGUUAAAAUAAUAAAUUAAAUUAUUAAGUGAAAUUUUAUUUUAUUUUAAAUUUUUAAAAAUUGUAUGAAGCUAUGAAAUUUAAUUAAUAAACUAGGAUUAGAUACCCUAUUAUUUUAAAUGUAAAAUUUUAUACUAGAGUAGUAAUAGUUAUGAUCUUGAAACUCAAAGAAUUUGGCGGUGUUUUAGUCUAUUCAGAGGAACCUGUUCCGUAAUCGAUAAUCCACGUUAAACCUUACUUAAAUUUUUAAUGUAUGUAUAUCGUCGUCAUCAGAAUGUCCUAAAAGGGAAAUAAUUUUCUUAAUAUAAAAAUAUAUUUCAUGUCAGAUCAAGGUGCAGUUUAUAUUUAAGUGGAAAUGGGUUACAAUAAUAAAAUUUAUAUGGAUAAGAUAUUGAAAUAUAUCUUUAAAAGUGGAUUUGAUAGUAAAUAAAUAAAGAUAAUUUUAUUGAUUAAAGCUCUAAAACAUGUACACAUCGCCCGUCGCUCUCGUUCUUUAAAAUGAGAUAAGUCGUAACAUAGUAGUUGUACCGGAAGGUGUAUCUAGAAAGA
Molecule: non-coding RNA, 786 nt
Filed under: Furcatopanorpa longihypovalva
Lineage: Eukaryota; Metazoa; Arthropoda; Insecta; Mecoptera; Panorpidae
Source: RNAcentral